This 714-nucleotide ribosomal RNA is filed under the name uncultured bacterium. RNAcentral describes it as "bacterial SSU rRNA". It matches the Rfam family "Bacterial small subunit ribosomal RNA", at positions 100 to 849 of the family's 1533-position model. The record is from RNAcentral.
GCACGGGUGCGUAACGCGUGGGAAUUUACCCCUAGCUGCGGAAUAACCCAGAGAAAUUUGAGCUAAUACCGCAUAAUGUCGCAAGACCAAAGAUUUAUCGGCAAGGGAUGAGCCCGCGUAGGAUUAGCUUGUUGGUGAGGUAAAAGCUCACCAAGGCGACGAUCUUUAGCUGGUCUGAGAGGAUGAUCAGCCACACUGGGACUGAGACACGGCCCAGACUCCUACGGGAGGCAGCAGUGGGGAAUAUUGGACAAUGGGCGCAAGCCUGAUCCAGCAAUGCCGCGUGAGUGAUGAAGGCCUUAGGGUUGUAAAGCUCUUUUACUAGGGAUGAUAAUGACAGUACCUAGAGAAUAAGCUCCGGCUAACUCCGUGCCAGCAGCCGCGGUAAUACGGAGGGAGCUAGCGUUGUUCGGAAUUACUGGGCGUAAAGCGCGCGUAGGCGGCUCGUCAAGUCAGGGGUGAAAGCCCGGGGCUCAACCCCGGAACUGCCUUUGAAACUAGCGAGCUAGAAUCUUGUAGAGGUUAGCGGAAUUCCGAGUGUAGAGGUGAAAUUCGUAGAUAUUCGGAAGAACACCAGUGGCGAAGGCGGCUGGCUGGGCAAGAAUUGACGCUGAGGUGCGAAAGCGUGGGUAGCAAACAGGAUUAGAUACCCUGGUAGUCCACGCCGUAAACGAUGAUAACUAGCUAUUUGGUCUUUUGAAGACUGGGUGGCGC